GAUGAACGCUUGCGGCAGGCUUAAUACAUGCAAGUCGAACGGUAACAGGGUCUUCGGACUGCUGACGAGUGGCGGAUGGGUGAGUAACGCGUAUGCAACCUUCCUUACAUCGAGAAAAAGUCGACUGAAAAGUUGAAUAAAGUCUCGUGGUGUACAUUUCUCGCAUGAGAGAUGUAUGAUAGAAGCAAUUUGGUGUGAGAUGGGCAUGCGUAUCAUUAGCUAGUUGGUAAGGUAACGGCUUACCAAGGCGACGAUGAUUAGGGGGCCUGAGAGGGUGGUCCCCCACACUGGGACUGAGACACGGCCCAGACUCCUACGGGAGGCAGCAGUAGGGAAUAUUGGUCAAUGGGCGGAAGCCUGAACCAGCCAUGCCGCGUGAUGGAUGACGGCCUUAGGGUUGUAAACAUCUUUUCUGCUAGAGGAAUAGAGUUCACGCGUGGACAGACGACUGUAUAGCAGGAAUAAGGAUCGGCUAACUCCGUGCCAGCAGCCGCGGUAAUACGGAGGAUUCGAGCGUUAUCCGGAUUUACUGGGUUUAAAGGGUGCGCAGGCGGGCUCUUAAGUCAGCGGUGAAAUGUCUGGGCUUACCCUAGGAAUUGCCGUUGAUACUGGGAGUCUUGGAUAAGCAUAAGGACGGCGGAAUGCGUAGUGUAGCGGUGAAAUGCUUAGAUAUUACGUAGAAGACCAAUUGCGAAGGCAGCUGUCUGGGUCUUUAUCGACGCUCAAGCACGAAAGCGUGGGGAGCAAACAGG
RNAcentral lists this ribosomal RNA (752 nucleotides) under uncultured Bacteroidales bacterium. Its description in RNAcentral is "bacterial SSU rRNA". It matches the Rfam family "Bacterial small subunit ribosomal RNA", at positions 28 to 776 of the family's 1533-position model. Lineage: Bacteria; Pseudomonadati; Bacteroidota; Bacteroidia; Bacteroidales. The record is from RNAcentral.